UCCUAGCCAGCCUAACUAGCUGGCCUACUUAUCAUCAACAGGCCGAUAUAAACCAGCUGAUCCAGCAAGUUAAACAAAUUGCAUAUAUGCAAUGAAGAUGAUGAUGGAAAACAGCAGCGGGUCGGCGAUUCCGAGGAAGUGGGCAGUAGUAGGAAUGUUGCCGGGGCUUCUAUACAAUGCUCACCGACUGCACCAAUUUGUGACUGAUAUUCUGAAAGAGAGCGGAGGGACAUUUGAGUUUAAAGGACCUGUACGUGUCGGGUAACUUGGACAUGCUUAUUGUAUCUGCACGGUGCACUGUACGUGUGAACCCCUGAGACUGUUCCCACCUGUGGCCAUUGAGCAUAACCUGUCGGCAGGAAAGGACGUCCUCCCUAGUGGACAUCUGGUGAAGCCCAACACCAGAACCAUACUCUCAUUCUAUUCAUCAGGAAGGAUGGAGUCAAUAUGGGGGAAGAUUGCAUGGAGUUCGAUCAAGCCAGAGAGGUGGAUCUCAAGCAAAGGAAGAAUCAAGCACGAGCCUUGACGGAAGAUGAGGGCAGGUCAGAAGGAGGGAAAGUCAGUUGAGAGAAAGAAAGCUCUGUUUCAUUCUGGUAAGUUCUGUGUUGAAUACAAGAUAUGGAAGCAUACAAUAUAAAUGGUGAGACUAAGAACGGUUGCAACAGAAGCUAUGGAAAUUACAUAGGAGUCCCUCUAGUGUCUCUCUUUAUCUUCCAACAAGUUUCCCGCAUUCAACGCCGGACCUAGGACUUGUUUAGGUAAAGAAAUGGGUUUGGUUCAGAU
Ipomoea nil (Japanese morning glory) is the source of this 783-nucleotide long non-coding RNA. RefSeq lists it as uncharacterized. The transcript is spliced from 2 exons. Lineage: Eukaryota; Viridiplantae; Streptophyta; Magnoliopsida; Solanales; Convolvulaceae. The record is from RefSeq and is a predicted model, not a curated record.